UACGGGGGGGGCAAGCGUUGUUCGGAAUUACUGGGCGUAAAGGGCUCGUAGGCGGCCGACUAAGUCAGACGUGAAAUCCCUCGGCUUAACCGGGGAACUGCGUCUGAUACUGGACGGCUUGAGUUCGGGAGAGGGAUGCGGAAUUCCAGGUGUAGCGGUGAAAUGCGUAGAUAUCGGGAGGAACACCUGUGGCGAAAGCGGCUCACUGGACCACAACUGACGCUGAGGCGCGAAAGCUAGGGGAGCAAACAGG
Molecule: ribosomal RNA, 253 nt
Filed under: uncultured bacterium
Lineage: Bacteria
Description: partial 16S ribosomal RNA
Rfam family: Bacterial small subunit ribosomal RNA
Source: RNAcentral